This 497-nucleotide ribosomal RNA is filed under the name uncultured bacterium. RNAcentral describes it as "partial 16S ribosomal RNA". It matches the Rfam family "Bacterial small subunit ribosomal RNA", at positions 28 to 507 of the family's 1533-position model. The record is from RNAcentral.
GAUGAACGCUGGCGGCGUGCCUAAUACAUGCAAGUCGAACGGAAGGGCCAGGCGCUUGUGGCGUGGAUGUUUGCGGAACGCGUGUGUAUCACGCGUGUAACCUGUCCCUGUCAGACGGAUAUCUCUUCGAGAAACGGGCUCUAACCGGAGAUGAUAUUUUGCACCACGUGGUUCAAUGGUAAGAUACGGUCUUGCUGUCACGUAUAGCUGGAUCCGCGCUGGAUUGGCUAGUUGGUAAGGUAACGGCUUACCAAGGCAACGAUGCAUAGCCGACCUGAGAGGGUGAUCGGCCACACUGGAAGUGAGACACGGUCCAGACUCCUACGGGAGGAAGCAGUAGGGAAUCUUCAGCAAUGGGCGAAAGCCUGACGGAGCAACGCCGAGUGAGUGAUGAAGGUCGUCGGAUCGUAAAACUCUGUUAUUAGGGAAGAACAUAUGUGUAAGUAACUGUGCACAUCUUGACGGUACCGAAUCAGAAAGCCACGGCUAACUACGUG